GCAAGUCGAACGAGAAAGCUCCCUUCGGGGAGUGAGUAGAGUGGCGCACGGGUGAGUAACACGUGGAUAAUCUACCCGAUGAUCUGGGAUAACACCACGAAAGAGGUGCUAAUACCGGAUAAGCCCACGACAUCUUCGGAUGAUGUGGGAAAAGGGGGCUUCGGCUUCUGUCAUCGGAUGAGUCCGCGGCCCAUUAGCUAGUUGGCGGGGUAAUGGCCCACCAAGGCUUCGAUGGGUAGCUGGUCUGAGAGGAUGAUC
RNAcentral lists this ribosomal RNA (258 nucleotides) under uncultured bacterium. Its description in RNAcentral is "partial 16S ribosomal RNA". It matches the Rfam family "Bacterial small subunit ribosomal RNA", at positions 57 to 305 of the family's 1533-position model. The record is from RNAcentral.